UACAGAGGUCUCAAGCGUUGUUCGGAUUCAUUGGGCGUAAAGGGUGCGUAGGCGGCGCGGUAAGUCGGGUGUGAAAUCUCGGAGCUUAACUCCGAAACUGCAUUCGAUACUGCCGUGCUUGAGGACUGGAGAGGAGACUGGAAUUUACGGUGUAGCGGUGAAAUGCGUAGAUAUUGGGAAGAACACCCGUGGCGAAGGCGGCUCUCUGGAACGCAACUGACGCUGAGACGCGAAAGCGUGGGGAGCAAACAGG
This 253-nucleotide ribosomal RNA is filed under the name uncultured bacterium. Its description in RNAcentral is "partial 16S ribosomal RNA". It matches the Rfam family "Bacterial small subunit ribosomal RNA", at positions 524 to 776 of the family's 1533-position model. The record is from RNAcentral.